This 780-nucleotide ribosomal RNA is filed under the name Alcaligenes sp. MHF ENV 9. RNAcentral's name for it is "partial 16S ribosomal RNA". It matches the Rfam family "Bacterial small subunit ribosomal RNA", at positions 41 to 796 of the family's 1533-position model. Lineage: Bacteria; Pseudomonadati; Pseudomonadota; Betaproteobacteria; Burkholderiales; Alcaligenaceae. The record is from RNAcentral.
GGGUGUUUUAUCACAUGCAGUCGAACGGCAGCACAAGAGAGCUUGUCUUCUUGGGGGGCGAGUGGCGGACGGGUGAGUAAUGUAUCGGAACGUGCCCAGUAGCGGGGGAUAACUACUCGAAAGAUGGGCUAAUACCGCAUACGCCCUACGGGGGAAAGGGGGGGAUCGCAAGACCUCUCACUAUUGGAGCGGCCGAUAUCGGAUUAGCUAGUUGGUGGGGUAAAGGCCUACCAAGGGCGACGAUCCGUAGCUGGUUUGAGAGGACGACCAGCCACAACUGGGACUGAGACACGGCCCAGACUCCUACGGGGAGGGCAAGCAGUGGGGGAUUUUUGGACAAUGGGGGAAAACCCUGAUCCAGCCAUCCCGCGUGUGUGAUGAAGGCCUUCGGGUUGUAAAGCCACUUUUUGACAGGGAAGAAAUGAUAGAGGCUAAUAACCUCUGUAGAUGACGGUACCUGUAGAAUAAGCACCGGCUAACUACGUGCCAGCAGCCGCGGUAAUACGUAGGGUGCAAGCGUUAAUCGGAAUUACUGGGGCGUAAAGGGUACGCAGGGCGGCUAGGAAAGAAAGAUGUGAAAUCCCAGGGCUCAACCUUGGAACUGCAUUUUUAACUACCUAGCUAGAGUAUGUCAGAGGGGGGUAGAAUUCCACGUGUAGCAGUGAAAUGCGUAGAGAUGUGGAGGAAUACCGAUGGCGAAGGCAGCCCCCUGGGAUAAUACUGACGCUCAGGUACGAAAGCGUGGGGAGCAAACAGGAUUAGAUACCUGGGGGUAAGCCC